UUUAAUUUAUUAUACGGCGUAGCGAAAGCAAAAUUGUGCGAUGUAUUUUUUUAACAGGAAUACUGCAGCACGGGCUGAUUAUGAAUAUACGCAGAGUCCUAGAUUGUGCGUAUACUCAAAUUUUUUUUUCGAAAUUUAUUUGAGAUUAAUCAAGCUAAAGAGCACUUUAGUUGAGACCCGAAAGAUGGUGAACUAUGCUCGGACAUGGUGAAGCCAGGUGAAAACUUGGUGGAAGCUUGCGUUGUGCGGAACUGACGUGCAAAUCGUUGCCGCCUGACCUGAGUAUAGGGGCGAAAGACUCAUCGAACCAUCUAGUAGCUGGUUCCCUCCGAAGUUUCCCUCAGGAUAGCUCGAAUUUAUUAUGAGUAACACAAGGGUAAAGCAAUGAGACGCGGUAUCUGUGGGUCUUAUUUAAAUGACCUCGGCCUUCUCUCAAACUUUAAAUCUGUGCGAUUACGUGUGCUUACUUUGAAUGUAUACAUUUCGGUAUAUGCAGUGAAGCCACGCAUUUUUUAUAUUGUAUCAAAAAUUCGUAGUGGGCCAUUUCUGGUAAGCAGAACUGGCGAUGA
Molecule: ribosomal RNA, 569 nt
Filed under: Srinivasania sundarbanensis
Lineage: Eukaryota; Foraminifera; Textulariida
Description: partial large subunit ribosomal RNA
Rfam family: Eukaryotic large subunit ribosomal RNA
Source: RNAcentral